ACGACACUCCUGCGGGAGGCAGCAGUGGGGAAUUUUACGCAAUGGGGGAAACCCUGACGUAGCGACACCGCGUGAGCGAAGAAGCCCUUUGGGGUGUAAAGCUCUGUCAGCUGGAACGAAAACAAUGACGGUACCAGCAGAGGAAGCAUCGGCUAACUACGUGCCAGCAGCCGCGGUAAGACGUAGGAUGCGAGCGUUGUCCGGAUUUAUUGGGCGUAAAGAGUUCGUAGGUGGUUUGUUAAGUUUGGUGUUAAAGAUCGGGGCUCAACCCUGGGACUGCACUGAAUACUGGCAGACUCGAGUGUGGUAGAGGCUAGUGGAAUUCCCAGUGUAGCGGUGAAAUGCGUAGAUAUUGGGAAGAACACCGGUGGCGUAGGCGACUAGCUGGGCCAUAACUGACGCUGAGGAACGAAAGCCAGGGGAGCGAAUGGGAUUAGAAACCCCAGUAGUCCCA
Molecule: ribosomal RNA, 454 nt
Filed under: uncultured organism
Description: partial 16S ribosomal RNA
Rfam family: Bacterial small subunit ribosomal RNA
Source: RNAcentral